This 601-nucleotide unclassified non-coding RNA is filed under the name Penicillium chrysogenum. RNAcentral's name for it is "sequence contains 18S rRNA gene, ITS1, 5.8S rRNA gene, ITS2, 28S rRNA gene". The stretch from base 222 to 374 matches the Rfam family "5.8S ribosomal RNA". The record is from RNAcentral. Lineage: Eukaryota; Fungi; Ascomycota; Eurotiomycetes; Eurotiales; Aspergillaceae.
AGUCGUAACAAGGUUUCCGUAGGUGAACCUGCGGAAGGAUCAUUACCGAGUGAGGGCCCUCUGGGUCCAACCUCCCACCCGUGUUUAUUUUACCUUGUUGCUUCGGCGGGCCCGCCUUAACUGGCCGCCGGGGGGCUUACGCCCCCGGGCCCGCGCCCGCCGAAGACACCCUCGAACUCUGUCUGAAGAUUGUAGUCUGAGUGAAAAUAUAAAUUAUUUAAAACUUUCAACAACGGAUCUCUUGGUUCCGGCAUCGAUGAAGAACGCAGCGAAAUGCGAUACGUAAUGUGAAUUGCAAAUUCAGUGAAUCAUCGAGUCUUUGAACGCACAUUGCGCCCCCUGGUAUUCCGGGGGGCAUGCCUGUCCGAGCGUCAUUGCUGCCCUCAAGCACGGCUUGUGUGUUGGGCCCCGUCCUCCGAUCCCGGGGGACGGGCCCGAAAGGCAGCGGCGGCACCGCGUCCGGUCCUCGAGCGUAUGGGGCUUUGUCACCCGCUCUGUAGGCCCGGCCGGCGCUUGCCGAUCAACCCAAAUUUUUAUCCAGGUUGACCUCGGAUCAGGUAGGGAUACCCGCUGAACUUAAGCAUAUCAAUAAGCGGAGGAA